GCAAGGACAAGAAGAAAAGUAUUUAUGCACUGUUAUAGUGUCAAGGUGUAUCCUAUACAUUAGUAACAGUCAGAGGAUACAUGUUAGUGAACAAAAUAUAUCUUUAAAUAAGGAAAUAAAUAAUUAAAUAUAUAUGCAUGUAGAUAGAUAGACAGACAGACAGACAGACAGAAAGCUAAGCAACUGAUCUGCAGGUUAUCUUCUUGCUCUCUUUUCUCCAAGUUAAAGUGAAUACAGCGUGAGUGUGUGUUGCAAACAUUACCCUCAGUCCAGCACAGCUACACACGAGAGGUCAGCCUGCAGGUUUUGGAGGCAAAGAAACUGCUCUGCUUGAUGUGAAGAACCAAGGCAUCAGUUGCUGUCAGAGAAAAGAUGCUGUCAAGGUGUGUCAUGUCCAUGCUAGAGCAUCUCUACCACCAUCUCUCCCCCCAUCUAGCUGUA
Molecule: long non-coding RNA, 441 nt
Organism: Oxyura jamaicensis (ruddy duck)
Lineage: Eukaryota; Metazoa; Chordata; Aves; Anseriformes; Anatidae
Exons: 3
Source: RefSeq, a predicted model, not a curated record